UACAUGAGCACCAGCAGAGCCUGUAUUUCAUCAGCUUCCAAAAGUGAGUUAUUAUUAUUUUUAAAAAUUUGUCAACAAUAGGUUUUUAUUUUUCUAUCAAUUUAUUUUAGUAAUUUCUUUGGUUAUAUUUCUUACUAGUAAAAUGUGUCACUCAGUACCUUUUUGUUGCAGGUAACAGAGAACCACUCUAGACUGCUAAAGCCAAAAAGGAGACAGAUGUGUCUCCCGGAACCAAGGGCAUAAGCACAGCAGAGCCUCAGGAAAGACUAGAACCAAGCCAGGCCUGUAAAGUCCAUGCACCUGGUAACUUUCCAGACAGUGCUCCUGUUAAGCCUGGAAUGCUAUGGAGAAAUACACACAUGAGAAUCUCCAGUUUACCCAAGAUGAACAUGAAGAGUGAAAAAGAAAUGAUUUCUCUUGUUCAAAGCCCCUAGGAUGUAUUGUCCAAAAAAAUUAAAAAUGAAGCGAUUAGCUGUCAACAUCUGGGAGUGAUCCAGAGACAGAGACUAAUAGGGAGAUCAAGGAAAGAGACAGAGAGGCUUGCUAAAACCACUGUCAUUCAAGAGUGACUGCAUGCCUAAGAUUGUACUCUCUGUGGAGUAACAUCAGAGACUUCACACUUAGUGGGUAAGUGAAGGAAAGAAGAAGU
Molecule: long non-coding RNA, 649 nt
Filed under: Callithrix jacchus (white-tufted-ear marmoset)
Lineage: Eukaryota; Metazoa; Chordata; Mammalia; Primates; Cebidae
Description: lncRNA (ENSCJAG00000073964.1)
Source: RNAcentral